RNAcentral lists this ribosomal RNA (497 nucleotides) under uncultured bacterium. Its description in RNAcentral is "partial 16S ribosomal RNA". It matches the Rfam family "Bacterial small subunit ribosomal RNA", at positions 28 to 507 of the family's 1533-position model. The record is from RNAcentral.
GACGAACGCUGGCGGCGUGCCUAAUACAUGCAAGUAGAACGCUGAAGAGAGGAGCUUGCUCUUCUUGGAUGAGUUGCGAACGGGUGAGUAACGCGUAGGUAACCUGCCUUGUAGCGGGGGAUAACUAUUGGAAACGAUAGCUAAUACCGCAUAACAAUGGAUGACACAUGUCAUUUAUUUGAAAGGGGCAUUUCCCCCAUUACAAGAUGGACUUGCGUUGUAUUAGCUAGUAGGUGAGGUAACGGCUCACCUAGGCGACGAUACAUAGCCGACCUGAGAGGGUGAUCGGCCACACUGGGACUGAGACACGGCCCAGACUCCUACGGGAGGCAGCAGUAGGGAAUCUUCGGCAAUGGGGGCAACCCUGACCGAGCAACGCCGCGUGAGUGAAGAAGGUUUUCGGAUCGUAAAGCUCUGUUGUAAGUCAAGAACGAGUGUGAGAGUGGAAAGUUCACACUGUGACGGUAGCUUACCAGAAAGGGACGGCUAACUACGUG